GACGAACGCUGGCGGCGUGCCUAAUACAUGCAAGUUGAGCGCUGACGGUUGGUACUUGUCCCCACUGGAUGAGCAGCGAACGGGUGAGUAACGCGUGGGGAAUCUGCCUUUGAGCGGGGGACAACAUUUGGAAACGAAUGCUAAUACCGCAUAAAACCUUUAAACACAAGUUUUAAGUUUGAAAGAUGCAAUUGCAUCACUCAAAGAUGAUCCCGCGUUGUAUUAGCUAGUUGGUGAGGUAAAGGCUCACCAAGGCGAUGAUACAUAGCCGACCUGAGAGGGUGGUCGGCCACAUUGGGACUGAGACACGGCCCAAACUCCUACGGGAGGCAGCAGUAGGGAAUCUUCGGCAAUGGACGAAAGUCUGACCGAGCAACGACGGGGGAGGGAAGAAGGGUGUCGGAUCGGAAAACUCGGUUGGUAGAGAAGAACGUUGGUGAGAGUGGAAAGCUCAUCAAGUGACGGUAACUACCCAGAAAGGGACGGCUAACUACGUG
Molecule: ribosomal RNA, 497 nt
Filed under: uncultured bacterium
Lineage: Bacteria
Description: partial 16S ribosomal RNA
Rfam family: Bacterial small subunit ribosomal RNA
Source: RNAcentral